Molecule: long non-coding RNA, 2524 nt
Organism: Oncorhynchus nerka (sockeye salmon)
Lineage: Eukaryota; Metazoa; Chordata; Actinopteri; Salmoniformes; Salmonidae
Exons: 3
Source: RefSeq, a predicted model, not a curated record
CACCAAGUCAGAACUGUAGGACAAAUAAGGGGCAUAUAAGCAGACAAUGAAAGCUUUUACAAUAUUCAAUGAUUACAUUUCACUUAAACAGGUUAUAGGCUACAGUAGAGCAGUCGGAACAGUAGGCAAAAUUAAGAAGGGUAAAUAGACCAAAUGAUUAGGGUGAGGCAUAUGGCCUACUAAAAUCUUACUACACAACAUACACUUAGUAUUACUUUCUUAGGUACAGUAUACAUACCUCCCUGGCAUAUUACAGAAUUUAUGCCGCAGCAUACAAUACAUUUUUGGACUCACCUUGUUGUGCUGUGCUCACUUGAACAGGAAGGUGGAGUGGUGGUCCUUCGUGGGCAAAUUUUGUCAUCAAAUUCUGGCAUUCUUUGGAUUUAUGGUGCUUUCAAAACAAGUUGGAUGACCGUUCAAAAUGUAUUUUCCCAGUCGGAGCUCGUUUAUUCCCGACUUCCCGGUUGUCUUGAACUCACUAAAGUCAAGUUUUCGCAGUUCCGAGUUGUUGUUUUGAGCAUGACCCAAAUCAUGCUUCAUUGACAGCAUGGCCAAUGUUGAACGUUUAUCAUUUUAAACUUGGAAAAGAGCCACUUAAUGCCAUAUUUGGGACCACACAGCCACGGUCACUGAUUCCUUCCAAACCACUUGUCGAAUCUGUGAUUUCCAACUUGUUGUUGUGUAAUAUUUAUGUCCAAUAGCCGAUGAGCACCGAUACGUUUUACCCAUAAUUUCUCUUCAUAUGGCAAGGAUUAAAAAGGUUUUGUCAGUAGAUUGUCGACUUGAUUAAUGAUCGAUGACUGCUAGCUCAGAUUGGGAAAGUAUGACGUUGACGUGAUCAGUCCAGUCAAAGCUACUGUACAUUUGACGUCAUUUUAUCUGUGGCCAAUGACCUUGAGCCUUCUUGGAUGGACACUUAUAAUGUGACUAUGGCAGCACCCAAAGUGCUAGAAUUUUCAAGGUCUCCUCUUACACUUGGCAGUGACGUAGUGUCUCAAUGAGUGACAGAACACUUAGCAACGCUCUGUAUGUUCCGCUGGCUAGCCCCACCGCCACAGAAAGCACUGAGCUUGGCUGAAACACCUGCAUUUUGGAGCUGCCUUACUCAAGAAAGCAAAAAAAGAGACCAUGUUUGUAUGCAGCUUUAUUAACUCAAAGAUAUGCAUCAUUUUCUUACAUUGUUUGAAAACUGAUAUCUGACCUGUAUUAAUGCCAAAAUAACAUGCAAAACAGGCAAGCCCCUCUGCCCCACCUGCCCAGAAUGACGGGUUGCCACUGUUUCCUAUGUAUUGUAUUCAUGCUCCUCUUUAAGUACUUACAGUACAGUACACAAGGCAAGUGUCUGUAUAAUAAUAUACUUUACAUGGGUGUAUUCACUAGGAAACAAACAGACGCAAACAGGCCAAAAACGGGGAUGGGCAUACCUGAACUUAUCCAAUAAGAAACGUUUUGCUACGGUGUGCACUAAUAAAUACACGCCAUGACUCUUGUUUCAGUAUGGAAUCAUCUAGUGUUAAGGUAGACAAGAUAUCCCUACCCAGAGAGAACAUGUCUCUACCUUCCAACAUGCAACUCAACGACCUCAGCACCCUGCGUAAAGCACUCGAGACCGCCAAACACCACCUUGGGGACAAGAUGAGAGAGGAGGAGGAGGAUCUGUCUGCUGCCUACGCUGCCAGGGGCUUCGCCCUGUACCCCAUGGUGGGCUACAUCUAUAAGGUGAACAGCAAGAGCAGUGAUGAGAUCUGGCUCUGACUACUAUGCCCCAGUUCCACCACUGGGUGGUCAAACCACAGUGCAAUGGGGCCAAAAGGAACCUGUGGAACGACUGCCAGUCAACCAAUCAGCCGAUCCCAUCUUCAACAAGGACCAAUAGAGAUGCUGAGAUGAUUACAGGCGCAGACCAGCAAGGGGAACCUGUUAGGAAGAUACUGUAGUUAGCGAACUCACUCUGGGGUUGUCCAGAUGAACCUAUUACAGCAGGUAAUCACAUUCCAACUUGAUUCCGUGAAAAUCAGAAACUCAGAAUAUCAGGUCCUAUGUUGAUUGGUUAGUGUAAUUCAAGCUGACAGCUAAGUCUGUAGCCUGGUCCUAUAUCUGUUUGUGCUGUCUGUCUGUUUGGUGUGACUAUAUGUCACAAACAGAUCUGGGACCAGAAGGGUGCAGUUGUGAUAUCAAGUGAAUACAUUUAGAUGGCUCUAAACACCUAAACCGAUACUCAGUGUGGAAAGUAUACUGUACCCGUGUUUUAGAUGGUUUACACUGACUGACCCCUACCACUCCUCCAUAUGCUACAGUCUGUUGAUCACAUACCAUAACCAUGAACUCCUGUUGGAUUAAGGAAUGCUUCAUGUUCUUUGUAUAUCAUAAUGUCCAAGACAAUGUAUGUGAACUGACAUAUUUCUAUGGCUAUAUACAUAAACAAUAGAUAUUCAUCUACAAGUAUAAAAUAUGUGUAUAUGUAUAUUUGUAUUCAUAUGUAUAUGUGUAUAAAAUAAAUCUAAUAAAGAUGAAUAUGACUAUG